CUUCAGUAUAACAAAACAUUUUCUUUUUUUUCUCAACUAUUACAUUAUUACAUUGCAUUUAAAAAUUUUCUUUUAUUUAAGGAAAUUUUGGUGCAUAUUUUCCAAGAUAACUGUUUGAAACAAAAGCAAUUAAAUAAACUUUGUUAUCGAAAAAAACUGAAAAUGAAAAAAAUUUUUGAAUUAAAGAUGGCUAUUGCAUCCAACAAUAACAAUAUUAAUCGAGAAAAAAACCAAGUAUCUGACAAAAUACUCACUCGUUGUCAACGCUCGAUGGCAAGACACAAUGCAGCUCAAUCGAUUCGUACUACUUAUGAAUCAAUGUUGAAAAUAUUGGAAAAGGAUGCCAUUUAUUACGAUACCAUUUCUAGGCAGAUGUUGACAAAUCAGAAAGAACAGAGCAAAUUAAUAUUAAAUACAACGUUGAUGGGACAGUUGGCUGCUGAGAACUUGGAUACUAAUCGUCAAAAAUAUAAUUAUUUAGCCAAGGGAAUUUUAAUGAAUACGAUAGAAAGAGAACGCACUUUGAAAAUUGCCCGUGUACAAGUUGAAUUUGCUCAAUCGCUAAUUCAGGUCAUAUUAAUUAUUUAUAAUUGUUUACCUAUUGGUGAUUUGUUGUCAAUUAUUAAUUACACAUUGUAGAAUGAUACAGUCGAAAAAUUAAAGGAAUCACACAAUGAAGAACUUGAAAAACAAAUACAAACUUUAGAAAAAGUAUUUCUUCAAGUGAAAAAAUCAUUUCACGAACAAUCCAUUGAGUUAUUACUUCCUAGGUGAGUUUUGGAAAAUUUUAAAAACUAAUUAUAGCACAUUAAUUCAUUCUGUUGAAUGUAUGUACCAAAUUAUUUUUAAGACCCGAAGAGCAGUUGACAAAAAAUACAAAUCUUUUCCAUCACCUUCGAUAUAUUGAAGAACAAAAUGAUUUACUAAUAAAGAAAAAACAACACGCUCAAUUGAUUCUUCAUGCUUUUCAACAGACAAUGACUUUAAGCGUAAAACAAUAUAAAUUAAGAAGACUAGAUAUGCUUGGAAAAAUAAAAAUGAAGAAAGAGUCUCAAGAAAAUUUAAAAAUAUUAAGAAAAGUUCAAGAAUUACUAUUAUUAAAAGUAAAAGGAGCAUUAACAAGUAUAAUUGAUUUUAUAAUGGAUGUAAAAAAAUUUAAGACAAAUGAAAAAGAAGAAACUGCGGAUACGAAUGAUGGUUAUAGAGAUUAUUAAUUUUAUAAAAUACUAUUUUUAAACCAUGUAGAAAAAUUAAUUUCUUUUUUAGUGAUGAUUGAUCGAGUAAUUCAAAAUGUUUCUUUGAUGCUAAGUAAUAUAAAUUUCGAUGAAAAGAUGGAUUUUUUAAAAAAAUAUAAAUUAAAAUCUAGUAAAGAAGAAUCAACUGGUAAUAUAUAUAUAUGUAUAUCUAAAAUAUCAAAUUAUUAUUUUCACUAGUAAGUUGAAAGAAAUGUAUUUCUUUUUGUAGAUAUUUUUGAAAAUGAUGAAUACGAAAUCAUAGAUGCAAAUGUUUUAACUCGAAAAUAUAUAAAAAAGCAAAGUAAACAACUUGUUGAAACUCGUUUAAUAUGAAAAAUCCAUAAAAAUAUGAUAUAAAAUUAUUUAUCACUAGUUUUACCAAUUUCAAAGAUUUGUAAUAAAGUUCUAUUUUGUAUAUUGUGUGAUUUGUAUUCUCUAUUUGUUUUAUUCUCAAAGGCAGUGUGUGUGUGUGUGUGUGUGUGUGUGUGAAAGAGUACCGUGAGCAUAAACUCUCUCUCUCUCUCUCUCUCUCUUUACAAAAUAAUAAAUAUUGUUAAAAAAAAAUUUACGAAA
Leptopilina heterotoma is the source of this 1808-nucleotide RNA transcript. RefSeq lists it as uncharacterized. Lineage: Eukaryota; Metazoa; Arthropoda; Insecta; Hymenoptera; Figitidae. The record is from RefSeq and is a predicted model, not a curated record. The transcript has 4 exons.